GCAAACUUGGUCAUUUAGAGGAAGUAAAAGUCGUAACAAGGUUUCCGUAGGUGAACCUGCGGAAGGAUCAUUAACGAGUAACUGAACAGGUUGUAGCUGGCCCUCCGGGGUAUGUGCACACCUGGCUCAUCCACUCUUCAACCUCUGUGCACUUGUUGUAGGUCGGUGGAAAGGCAAGUCUUAGGAUUUUGCUUGGAAGCCUUCCUAUGUUUUACUACAAACGCUUCAGUUUAAGAAUGUAUCUCUGCGUAUAACGCAUUUAUAUACAACUUUCAGCAACGGAUCUCUUGGCUCUCGCAUCGAUGAAGAACGCAGC
This 316-nucleotide unclassified non-coding RNA is filed under the name uncultured fungus. RNAcentral describes it as "partial contains small subunit ribosomal RNA, internal transcribed spacer 1, and 5.8S ribosomal RNA". The stretch from base 1 to 73 matches the Rfam family "Eukaryotic small subunit ribosomal RNA", at positions 1759 to 1831 of the family's 1831-position model. The record is from RNAcentral. Lineage: Eukaryota; Fungi.